RNAcentral lists this long non-coding RNA (226 nucleotides) under Solanum tuberosum (potato). RNAcentral describes it as "long non-coding RNA (STUB_LNC007977)". Lineage: Eukaryota; Viridiplantae; Streptophyta; Magnoliopsida; Solanales; Solanaceae. The record is from RNAcentral.
UCCAAACAAAGGUUUUUGAACUAUAAAUCAUGUUUCAAAUACCCUCACCACAAAAAAGUUUCAAUUUGCACACAUUUAAAGUGUUUUAAUUUGUGGGUAUUUAGUGAUAUACACGCACACUCAAAAAAUGUUCAACGCGUGAAAUUGUGAUACCAUAGGCUUGACCUUCAUGUAAAACUCCAUUAAUGUGAGAACAUUUGAACUGAAAUCAUGUACGACUUGUUAU